This 406-nucleotide long non-coding RNA is filed under the name Junco hyemalis (dark-eyed junco). RNAcentral's name for it is "lncRNA (ENSJHYG00000005517.1)". Lineage: Eukaryota; Metazoa; Chordata; Aves; Passeriformes; Passerellidae. The record is from RNAcentral.
GCGAUGGCGGCGGCUGCUCCUGACGCGUUUCUCUCUUUCCCUCCCCAGGUGGGCACGGCGGGCACCGGACACCGCUCGAGGCGGAGGUAACGGCGGCUCCCCCAGCUCCUCGCCGGCGGCAGCCCCGGGACGCGGCCGGUGGCACCGGAGGGAUGCGAGGCAGGGCAGAGCUCCCGCCUGGCCCCGAUCCAGCCCCGAUCCAUCCCCAGGAGCCUCGGGAAGAUCCCGAAUCCCGGAGAUCGCGGCCGGAGCAGCCCCGGAGCUGCCGCGGGCCGGGAUUUCCUGCCCUGGAAUUCCCGCAAUUCCCGAUUUCCCGGGAAAGGCUCCGCUUGCCAAGGCCGGAUGGGGGUUUUUUGGGGAUGGGAAAGGAAAGAAUUGAGGAUUGAAGGAGAUUCCAACACACACA